GAUGAACGCUGGCGGCGUGCCUAAUACAUGCAAGUCGAGCGAACGGACGAGAAGCUUGCUUCUCUGAUGUUAGCGGCGGACGGGUGAGUAACACGUGGAUAACCUACCUAUAAGACUGGGAUAACUUCGGGAAACCGGAGCUAAUACCGGAUAAUAUUUUGAACCGCAUGGUUCAAAAGUGAAAGACGGUCUUGCUGUCACCUAUAGAUGGAUCCGCGCUGCAUUAGCUAGUUGGUAAGGUAACGGCUUACCAAGGCAACGAUGCAUAGCCGACCUGAGAGGGUGAUCGGCCACACUGGAACUGAGACACGGUCCAGACUCCUACGGGAGGCAGCAGUAGGGAAUCUUCCGCAAUGGGCGAAAGCCUGACGGAGCAACGCCGCGUGAGUGAUGAAGGUCUUCGGAUCGUAAAACUCUGUUAUUAGGGAAGAACAUAUGUGUAAGUAACUGUGCACAUCUUGACGGUACCUAAUCAGAAAGCCACGGCUAACUACGUGCCAGCAGCCGCGGUAAUACGUAGGUGGCAAGCGUUAUCCGGAAUUAUUGGGCGUAAAGCGCGCGUAGGCGGUUUUUUAAGUCUGAUGUGAAAGCCCACGGCUCAACCGUGGAGGGUCAUUGGAAACUGGAAAACUUGAGUGCAGAAGAGGAAAGUGGAAUUCCAUGUGUAGCGGUGAAAUGCGCAGAGAUAUGGAGGAACACCAGUGGCGAAGGCGACUUUCUGGUCUGUAACUGACGCUGAUGUGCGAAAGCGUGGGGAUCAAACAGGAUUAGAUACCCUGGUAGUCCACGCCGUAAACGAUGAGUGCUAAGUGUUAGGGGGUUUCCGCCCCUUAGUGCUGCAGCUAACGCAUUAAGCACUCCGCCUGGGGAGUACGACCGCAAGGUUGAAACUCAAAGGAAUUGACGGGGACCCGCACAAGCGGUGGAGCAUGUGGUUUAAUUCGAAGCAACGCGAAGAACCUUACCAAAUCUUGACAUCCUUUGACAACUCUAGAGAUAGAGCCUUCCCCUUCGGGGGACAAAGUGACAGGUGGUGCAUGGUUGUCGUCAGCUCGUGUCGUGAGAUGUUGGGUUAAGUCCCGCAACGAGCGCAACCCUUAAGCUUAGUUGCCAUCAUUAAGUUGGGCACUCUAAGUUGACUGCCGGUGACAAACCGGAGGAAGGUGGGGAUGACGUCAAAUCAUCAUGCCCCUUAUGAUUUGGGCUACACACGUGCUACAAUGGACAAUACAAAGGGCAGCGAAACCGCGAGGUCAAGCAAAUCCCGUAAAGUUGUUCUCAGUUCGGAUUGUAGUCUGCAACUCGACUACAUGAAGCUGGAAUCGCUAGUAAUCGUAGAUCAGCAUGCUACGGUGAAUACGUUCCCGGGUCU
This 1372-nucleotide ribosomal RNA is filed under the name uncultured bacterium. RNAcentral describes it as "bacterial SSU rRNA". It matches the Rfam family "Bacterial small subunit ribosomal RNA", at positions 28 to 1381 of the family's 1533-position model. The record is from RNAcentral.